Molecule: ribosomal RNA, 243 nt
Filed under: uncultured Bacillota bacterium
Lineage: Bacteria; Bacillati; Bacillota
Description: uncultured Firmicutes bacterium partial 16S ribosomal RNA
Rfam family: Bacterial small subunit ribosomal RNA
Source: RNAcentral
CUUAGUGGCGAACGGGUGAGUAACGCGUGAGUAACCUGCCCUAGAGUGGGGGACAACAGUUGGAAACGACUGCUAAUACCGCAUAAGCCCACGGUACCGCAUGGUACUGAGGGAAAAGGAUUUAUUCGCUUUAGGAUGGACUCGCGUCCAAUUAGCUAGUUGGUGAGGUAACGGCCCACCAAGGCGACGAUUGGUAGCCGGACUGAGAGGUUGAACGGCCACAUUGGGACUGAGACACGGCCC